AGGACACUAGCGCCCUGCGUACAGGAGCUUCCAGCGUCAGGCCAGGCCCCCACCCUCACCCCACCAUUAGCCCUCACCUGUGCCCACUUCUUUGCAGUUUGAGAAACAUUUUCGAUUUCAAAACUCCAUUGGCUUCAUGUAAACUUCAUUUACUGGGCACCUGGCACCUUGCUGAGUCUUGAGGAAUCAGCAGAGACAAUGCGGUCCCUGCUGUCGUGGAGCUGGCAUCCUGGUGGGAAGAGACAGACAGCAAACAAAUGCUUAGAUACAUGACGAAGAUAAUUUUAGAGCAGUAAGUGCUAGGACGAAAAUUAGCAGGUGAAGUGACGGCUAGGGCUCCUUGGCUGGGGGAGAGAGAAGGAGGCCUGUCUGUGCAAAGAUCUAAAUAGCAAGAGGAACCGCCAUGGGUAGAGUCUGGGAAGAGCAUUUUGUUCUUUUAGAGGCAGGGUCUUGCUGUGUUGCCCAGGCCGAACUUGAAUUCCUGGCCUCAAACAGUCCUCCCACCUCAGCCUUCUGAGUAGCUGGGACUACAGGGGCCUGCCCUCCUGGGAAGAGCAUCAUUGGCAGAAAGAACAUCAAGUGCAAAGGUCCUGAGGCAGGAGAGAACUUGGGCAGAGGGGAGCUGGUCAAGGCAUCAGAGCUUGUGGGUGACCUGGGACAAGUGAAUCCUGCAUCUGCAAAAUAAGAUAAGAAAAUCAAGGCUCAGAGAGGUGAAGUCACUGAUCCAAAGUCACACAGCAGGUCAAAAGGAGAUCAUGUUUCCUGCCUGGAGGAGAGGCCCCGGUGGACUGGAAUAGGAGAAAGUGGAGGGGGUGUAUUUCAGGAUAGAAUCCUGCACCCUGCCAGGGACCACGCUUAUCCUUGGCUCACUCAAUAGGAUGCAAGGGCGUUUACUGUGGCCAGGUCUUGUGAGUGCCCAGAGCCCUGUGGCAAGAAGCCUCUGCCAGGGAAAGGGAUGCGGGGAAGUGGAGGCAGUGAUGGGGAAGCAGAGCCAGGAGAGACCCUUGGGCUUCCUUCCUUCAAGGCCUCUGGUCUCUAGCAGAGAGAAGAGAGGGAGCAGUGCUCUCUUGCCCUUCUGCCUUCCACCAUGGGAUGAUA
Molecule: long non-coding RNA, 1098 nt
Filed under: Homo sapiens (human)
Lineage: Eukaryota; Metazoa; Chordata; Mammalia; Primates; Hominidae
Description: HSALNT0388860
Source: RNAcentral